GUUCGAGUGGUGUAGUGGUUAUCACGCCAGUCUCACACACUGGAUGUCCUGGGUUCGAACCCCAGCUCGAACA
Molecule: non-coding RNA, 73 nt
Organism: Camillea tinctor
Lineage: Eukaryota; Fungi; Ascomycota; Sordariomycetes; Xylariales; Graphostromataceae
Source: the annotation of a GenBank genome assembly